RNAcentral lists this long non-coding RNA (655 nucleotides) under Nicotiana benthamiana. Its description in RNAcentral is "long non-coding RNA (NBEN_LNC008395)". The record is from RNAcentral. Lineage: Eukaryota; Viridiplantae; Streptophyta; Magnoliopsida; Solanales; Solanaceae.
GACGAAAAGGGCAGUCGAGUGCACUAAGCUUCCGCAAUGCUCGGGGUCCAGGGAAGGAUCGGACCACAAUGCCUAUUAUACGCAACCCUAACCUGUAUUUUUGGAAGAGGCUAUUGAUAAUGGACUGCUGAAGAAUAAUACUGAAGAAAAAUGUACACAUGAUUAUGAAUCUUAAAAUUGUAAUAUGUGAAGGAACUGAAUUCAGAAACUCUAUUGAGGUAAAACAAUGCCAAAUACUUUCUCUAACUGCCAAAAACAGAUUACUGCUUCAUCUCCAUGUCCAGCCAGGGCAUGGAGCAGUAACCUAUAUAACUUCCAAGAUCUGUCUAAUUGAACUGAUUAGGACUUCUCAUCAAAAUCACGCCUCGUCUAUUAAAGACUGCAAUUUUUGGCGAAAGGUAGGGAUUUUGGCCGCAUCUAUUGCCAUUACCAAGCCAGUAAGCCGAUAAUCUUUUAGCUGCAAUGUCAGGAGAGGAAUAAGUGUUUCAUUCACGCAAAGUUAUCUGAUAGGAAGUAACAAUAGGAACGUAAUCACACGAACAGUAACAUUAUAUAGACUGAAGAACGACAAAAUUAAAUUUGGAAUAUCAACUCCUCCAUAGAUGGAAGAAAGGAAAGAGCAUUUUGACUUAUAAGAGAAAUCGCCCCAAUUCUG